This 253-nucleotide ribosomal RNA is filed under the name uncultured bacterium. RNAcentral's name for it is "partial 16S ribosomal RNA". It matches the Rfam family "Bacterial small subunit ribosomal RNA", at positions 524 to 776 of the family's 1533-position model. The record is from RNAcentral.
UACGGGGGGGGCAAGCGUUGUUCGGAAUUACUGGGCGUAAAGGGCUCGUAGGCGGCCAACUAAGUCAGACGUGAAAUCCCUCGGCUUAACCGGGGAACUGCGUCUGAUACUGGAUGGCUUGAGUUUGGGAGAGGGAUGCGGAAUUCCAGGUGUAGCGGUGAAAUGCGUAGAUAUCCGGAGGAACACCGGUGGCGAAGGCGGCAUCCUGGACCGGCAUUGACGCUGAGGCGCGAAAGCUAGGGGAGCAAACGGG